Molecule: long non-coding RNA, 3132 nt
Organism: Gallus gallus (chicken)
Lineage: Eukaryota; Metazoa; Chordata; Aves; Galliformes; Phasianidae
Source: Ensembl
AAGUGUUCCCAUAUUUACUUAGAAUUUAUUAAACACCUUUUUUAAAUAGAAAAGGACAAUUCAGGAAGAACAGAAAUGCAUAACACAGAAUAAGUGAAACUGCAGCAGCAGCUUAUUACAACCACUACAAAAGGGAUGUGCAGCUGACUGCUGCAUGUGAUGGAGUACCCAAAUACUAGCUGGUGCUGCUUCUUUUCCACAUUUGAAUGAUUUAUAGCAGAAACUCCAGAAAUACUCUCCUGCAGCUUGACAUCUGCUUAAUUGAACAGGAAAGCAUUGCACUGAGCUAGCAAGUUGAACACAGGAUGAUAGGCACUCAUAGGUAACGUGCACAAAGCAAUCUGGAAAUCGUGGCUAUUGGCUGCCAUUCUCUGUUGCUAAGUACAGUACAGCAUAGCUGUUAUGGAGCUAACUGGUGCAGGGCUUCCUCAACCAAGUAAUGUCCAGGUUGGUCUUGUACAAGAAACAGCACUUAUGCUUUGUCAUUUCCCUGCUGUGACGUCUCUGAUGUCCAUGACUGGGUGCGGAAGCUGGUAUUUGGCAAGCUGCACUACAAAAGAAACCUGCUAAUUCUGAAAAGUGGUGUUUUGGGCUCAGCUGUCACUCCUGGAUGAAAUACGUUCUACCUUGCAGAGUAGACUAAUAAGACUGCCCGUGCAAUGUGUAAGGUUUUCUUUUGUCCUUUAUAAAACUGAAAGGACUGAAAUAAUAGUUCAGGAGAAGAUUUUGAUAUCCUCGUUCCAGCGUGCCUUGGCAGUCCCCACACUGUGAAUAGUUUCUCCAGCUCCAGUGGAAUGCCUCUUGGAUGGAAGAUAGCCCUCACAGUGAAUUCAGCUGCUCUCCUGCUGCAGGAAUGUGCGGGCACACUGUUACACAUUAUAGAGGGAAAAUUACACAAACCUGUCCAAUGACAAGUGUAUAGCGUCGACAAUGUAUCCAAGAAAAGCUAUUGUGUGCAUUAAAGAAUGUGUCUUUUUGGCACUUGCUGAAAUAAGAAGAGGCAAGACUGUGCAGUCUGAGCUCUUCUUAAACCUUUACACGAUGAGGCAGAGCAAGUUUCUGAGCACUUCUGCAGCACUUCCCUGUACCAGUCCCCUUCCCUGCUCCCCUCGCCGACAAUUCUGUAGAGCGUUCGCUCCAGUUCAGCGGCUGCUGACAAAUGCUGCACCUUUCUGCUCCAGCCCCUUGUUGCUUACACACGGGAAUCAAACAAUCAGAAGAACCUCAAGCUUAUUUUCAUCUAAGUAACUUGUUUAUUUCUAAACCUACAAAGCAAAUGCACUCUUUGCUCUGCAAUUUAAUGUCUGCCUCUUUUUCCGCCAAGGUUGAUUUGGUAUUUCCUUUACAAACCUCAAUUGUUGGCAUUAAGAACUUGGCCAUUUCAACUCUACUGGACUAAAACUUGGCAACCAAAUUGUGAGCUAGCAGCUAAAUUGUUUCACUAAAAUUUCUUUCAUUUUUAUCAUUAAUCUGUGGCCAAUCUUUAUCUCUGCAGUUCCCACCACACUUCUAAGUCCCCCGAAGGUGAAUCGCUGGAAGUAACUUGGAAGUGCAGCUGACCGCCCGUACAAACACUUAAAUAAGAGACCCAGAACCCGAGCUCCAUAACAAAAUGCAGUUUCACUCUGUUUUUCUGCCUGCAGGCAGCCUUUCUUACACUUCUGCAUAUCAAGGAAGUGUCCCAGGAGAAGCCACAAGAUAGAGUCCUUAACAAAGCAGGAAGAGCAGAAAACCACAAAGGCACAUAGCAAGUCACUAUUAGGUCAAGGCCUGUGCUCACCAAUCCUGUGCAGAACUGGAGACGCAGUGAGCAUUCCAUAGCAGCCAGUGGUCAGAGGGCCGGCAAGGAUGGGAGUGGAGGAAUGGCUGUGGAAGAUGAGAGUGAAUAACCCAUGCCGUGUGGAUGCUGGCAGCCCUGAAACCAUUAGGAACAGGGCUCAGCAGCCUGCUCCCUGGUGCUGUGCCAUCAGAAGAGAUUUUGGUCUGCUGUUCAUCUCAAGAAGUGAAAUGACAGCAGAACUGCCGAUGUGAUGCAAGAUGCGAUUGGGAUAUACGAUUUUUUUUUCCAGGAGAAAUGCUUGAUUCUGCCAGGAUCUGGUGCAGGGAAUAUUUUGCAAUGAUGUGGACUCAAAUCUAGGCAACCGCUGAGCAGAUCUAAAUGGCCAAGUGAAGGAGAAUCCAGUGUUCUUUCACUGUCAUGGGUCAGAAAAGCAGACCAUCUUCAACACGCAUUCAGCCCUUCAACUGCCUCACGUCCUUCAGUUCAUGGCACAGCCUGAGGCUGAGUGGGGAUCACCAGGUCAGCUCAGGCCUUUAACAGAGACCUCUCUUUGACUCAGGCAAGCCUAGCUUCUAAAAUCAGGAAUUUUAAAAACUAUUGGCAAAAAUCAUCUGAUUUGAGCUUGCUAUGUUAAAUCACAUCUAAGGAAUAUUUAGGCUUGGUGAAGUGUGUUUAACUUCUUCAUAUGUGAAUGCUGAAUCCAAAAUACACUAAUUUCUAAGAACCACAGUAAUUAAACUGCCUUGCCAAUAGUAUGGCAAGGAUCAUUUGGUUAAGCCACCAUCUAGCAUAGACAUUGAAAGCCCUAAGAUGUAUGUGGAAAGAUAAAUAUCUAUGCUUAGCUUUAUCUUUAAGAUGUUUUGAUAGUGACUAUUCUGUGACACAAUAUUCAUAACUUGUGGACACAUUGUGAAGCAGUUUUCCAAUAUCAAGUCCAUCACUGCAUUUCUGGGAGGAUGCAACUGUUUCCUUUUUAAAGCCACCAAAGAAACCAUCAGAAGAAAAGAUUUGUGCUCAUCUUUCAUUAACCUGACAUACAAAAUCCAGGGACCCUUGCUCCUUGAUCAAAGACAGCAGCAUGAGCAAGCCAUGAAUCAGAUUGACAUCAUAAUCCCUAUUUUUCUGCACAAUGAAUUCAAGGGAUAGGUAUUCCUCUGAUACUCUACAGGCAAAGAUUAGGAUAAGGCACAUCACUACAGACAUUGGGAAGCUCCAUUUUUGGUGACUGUGCACUGUGCAGCUGAACUGAUUGCAUGAAGAAACUACAGUGAUUUCCUGUGAGCUGCAGAUCCUGUUCACAUUGCUGGCUCCACAAGCCUACAAGCCCCAGUGCAGUGCACAGGCACACACUG